CCUCAAAUAAUACAUUCCUAUGGCAGAAACUAAGGAAGAUCAAAGAGAAAUCCAUUACAGCAGAGUGACGAGGUCAUUCCUGAUGCACAACCCAGUGGAGGUGAGAAUUCUCAUCACCGGCAAAGCACUAUGAAUCCAUUGUAAGAGAUGACCUCCUGCAGGCUAAUGCAAAAUCAGGUCUUUGACAAGGAUGGCAGGGCCCUUGGAUGGAUAGAAUAUCCCCCACAGGUGGGAAGGGGAAAAUCCUCAAGCCAAAGGAAGAUACCAGAUGAAGGGAAAGGGACGCCAGGCAAGAACACAACAAUAGACAUUCACUGCACAAGGAUUUUGAUAAUGAAGACACCAAAGAAAUAACGAAUUGGAGUUAAUUCGUUGCAGAAAGUAUAAAGUAGGAGAAAGAGAAGGAGGUGUCUGAAGACUGAGAUUCUGGUGCUGAUUCCACUGUUAAAUUUGAGAGCAAAAUUUUUGCCCCUUCUGGGUCUCUGUUGUUUUUUCUUAUAAAUGGUGACUCUGGUUGAACUAAUCUUUAAGAGCAUUUUUUAAAAAAAGAAAAAUAAUAUGCAUAUAAUUAAUUCUUGCUUUAUGAAAGUAUCUCUGACAUGGGCACAAAAAAAUGGAGAAGCCUCUGCCUCCUCCUCUGUUCCCAUCUUCUGUUCAUACU
RNAcentral lists this long non-coding RNA (661 nucleotides) under Homo sapiens (human). RNAcentral describes it as "non-protein coding lnc-SLC35B3-5:1". The record is from RNAcentral. Lineage: Eukaryota; Metazoa; Chordata; Mammalia; Primates; Hominidae.